AUUGAACGCUGGCGGCAGGCUUAACACAUGCAAGUCGAGCGGGGUGAUGGUGCUUGCACUAUCACUUAGCGGCGGACGGGUGAGUAAUGCUUAGGAAUCUGCCUAUUAGUGGGGGACAACAUCUCGAAAGGGAUGCUAAUACCGCAUACGUCCUACGGGAGAAAGCAGGGGAUCACUUGUGACCUUGCGCUAAUAGAUGAGCCUAAGUCGGAUUAGCUAGUUGGUGGGGUAAAGGCCUACCAAGGCGACGAUCUGUAGCGGGUCUGAGAGGAUUAUCCGCCACGCUGGGACUGGGCCACGGCCCAGACUCCUACGGGAGUCAGCAGUGGGGAAUAUUGGACAAUGGGGGGAACCCUGAUCCAGCCAUGCCGCGUGUGUGGAGAAGGCCUUAUGGUUGUAAAGCACUUUAAGCGAGGAGGAGGCUCUUUUGGUUAAUACCCAAGAUGAGUGGACGUUACUCGCAGAAUAAGCACCGGCUAACUCUGUGCAGCCGCCGCCGUAA
This 502-nucleotide ribosomal RNA is filed under the name uncultured bacterium. Its description in RNAcentral is "partial 16S ribosomal RNA". It matches the Rfam family "Bacterial small subunit ribosomal RNA", at positions 30 to 523 of the family's 1533-position model. The record is from RNAcentral.